Molecule: ribosomal RNA, 119 nt
Organism: Alnus glutinosa
Lineage: Eukaryota; Viridiplantae; Streptophyta; Magnoliopsida; Fagales; Betulaceae
Source: RefSeq, a predicted model, not a curated record
GGGUGCGAUCAUACCAGCACUAAUGCACCCUAUUCCAUUUGAAGUCUGCAGUGAAGCGUGCUUGGGCGAGAGUAGUACUUAGAUGGGUGACCUCCUGGGAAGUCCUCGUAUUGCACCCU